Molecule: non-coding RNA, 745 nt
Organism: Camelina sativa (false flax)
Lineage: Eukaryota; Viridiplantae; Streptophyta; Magnoliopsida; Brassicales; Brassicaceae
Source: RefSeq, a predicted model, not a curated record
ACGACGAGAUAACUUCUUCCUUGAUUCUGUCGAUUUCGAGCCACUCUCGCUGCUUACCGAUGUCUUCGGUUGAUUUCCUCCGCUUGAGGCCCCCUCGUGCACCACCGCCGGAGCCUCUUUCUCCGCUGACUCCACCGGAACCACCGGAUCCACCGGACCCUCAGAUCUGCUUCUCCUUUGGUGAAUCUCUUGUCCAGCCGCUGAAUCUCUCCUCCUUCAGAGCGUGUGACUUGUUCAUCGUCCCUCUCUCCUCCACACCGGGCUUUCCGUCGCCGACUGAUGCCCUCACCUUACUUCACCAGAUGUUCCCUCAGUGGUAGUGUUACAGGGAGCAUUGUGUUAACUGUUCUGCUUGAAGUAGAAGCAGGGAUUGUUGUUCAAGACUGUUCUCGUUCAGCAUUUGUUGACUGUUUAACGUUUGUGUCUUUGAAGUUUCCUUUCCCAAAAUUCCCUCUUGUUUGGAGGGGUUUGGAUGAUCAAGACUUGUCGGUAUUGCAAGGUUCUUCCUCCCGACUGAUGGUUAUUAUGGAUGCGAUCUAUCAAGAAACUGCUGAGAUUGUACUUGUUUGUUGGUCUCUUAUGUUCUCUUCCUAUGAUUUGUAUCUUAUCUAUCCUUUGCUUAGCCAUCUUUUGAUGGUUUUCUUUGGCUUUUGUUGCCUUUAUUUCCUUUGUUUUGGAUGUAUUUCCUCUCUUGUUAGAGGUUGAAACUCUUUUUAUCUUAAUGAAAGUGAAGUGUUUGACCAAA